UGCCAUUGUUUAAUAUUCACAUAGACCAAGGUGAGCGACACAGGCUCUUUAGUUUAAUAUUGACCUGUAACAUAUACACCCCACUUUCUUCAAACAUUUGAAUUAAUUUUGAAGAAAUGAUCAAACUACCCAACAAACUUGGAAAGCAAGUUCACUAAUGUUUUGUUGAAUAUGCAUUUGAAAAAAGUUUGGAGCUGUCUUAUGUGGUUUGGUUAUUGUACAUUUGUUACAAGAAAAGCUUAAACCUACUGUUAUUAUCAAAGAUUGGGAUAAGAAAUUUGUAGGUUUUUUGUGAAGAAAAUUGCCCAUCUCAUUUUUACUUUUUUGAAACAUGUUUUCAAGAAAUGUUAUAGAUUAUGUAAAUGAGAACUCGUGUGUCAACAGAUUAUGUAAAUGAGAACUCAUGUGUCAACAGAUUAUGUAAAUAGAACUCAUGUGUCAACAGAUUAUGUAAAUGAGAACUCAUGUAUGUAAAUGAGAACUCUUAUGUCAACAGAUUAUGUAAAUGAGAACUCAUGUGUCAACAUAUUAUGUAAAUGAGAACUCAUGUGUCAACACUCCUUAUAUGAAACUGUAAGACUUGUAUCUUUAUUCAUGUUUUAUUUUAUGUACAAUACAGAAAAUAAAUCAUGUUUUACUGUCAUUAGUUAACUUGUUAUUAACCUAGUUAUCUGGAUAACAACACUACGAGAAAGGUUAGUAAAACAGAUACAAUUGGGCAGUUACAAAUUAUAAUCAAAAGAAUAACUGACAAUAUGAUGACAAAAAGUGAAGAUGAGCAGACAAAAAAUAGUCCAAAUAAAAUUGACACAAACCAUGAAAAUAACGAGGUCAAAUUUUUUAGGAGGCAUGUCCAUAAAAAAGAUGAACCAAAGAAUUCAAAUUUAAUGUAAUAUAGUACAAGUGUAUUGUUUAAA
This 917-nucleotide long non-coding RNA is filed under the name Mytilus galloprovincialis (Mediterranean mussel). The record is from RNAcentral. Lineage: Eukaryota; Metazoa; Mollusca; Bivalvia; Mytilida; Mytilidae.